RNAcentral lists this ribosomal RNA (421 nucleotides) under uncultured bacterium. Its description in RNAcentral is "bacterial SSU rRNA". It matches the Rfam family "Bacterial small subunit ribosomal RNA", at positions 29 to 444 of the family's 1533-position model. The record is from RNAcentral.
AACGAACGCUAGCGGCGCGCUUUAAGCAUGCAAGUCGAGCGGUAAGGUCCUUCGGGACCCCAGAGCGGCGGACGGGUGAGUAACACGUGGAUAAUCUGCCUCUCAGUCCGGGAUAGCACAUGGAAACAUGUGAUAAUACCGGAUACGAUGUGCCUGUCACAUGGCGGGUGCAGGAAGGGUCCUGCGGGAUCGCUGGGAGAUGAGUCCGCGGCCCAUUAGCUUGUUGGCGGGGUAAAGGCCCACCAAGGCGACGAUGGGGUAGCCGGCCUGAGAGGGUGGACGGGCCACAUUGGGACUGAGACACGGGCCCAGACUCCUACGGGAGCAGCAGCUAAGAAUCUUCCACAAUGGACGAAAGUCUGAUGGAGCGACGCCGCGUGAACGAUGAAGGCCGUAAGGUUGUAAAGUUCUUUUUGGAAGG